GGCUCUCACCCUCUCUGGCGCCC
This 23-nucleotide non-coding RNA is filed under the name Arabidopsis thaliana (thale cress). Lineage: Eukaryota; Viridiplantae; Streptophyta; Magnoliopsida; Brassicales; Brassicaceae. The record is from RNAcentral.